GGGUUCAGAACGUCGUGAGACAGUUCGGUCCCUAUCCGUCGCAGGCGCAGGAUACUUGAGAGGAUCUGUCCCCAGUACGAGAGGACCGGGAUGGGCACACCGAUGGUGUACCGGUUGUUCCGCCAGGGGCAUAGCCGGGUAGCCAGGUGUGUAAUGGAUAAACGCUGAAAGCAUCUAAGUGUGAAACCAGCCUCAAGAUAAGGUAUCCCACUCAUAAAGAGGUAAGACCCCUGGGAGAAGACCAGGUAGAUAGGCUGGAGGUGUAAGUGUGGUUACACAUUGAGCUGACCAGUACUAUUAGGUCGAGGGCUUAAUCUAA
This 319-nucleotide ribosomal RNA is filed under the name Halanaerobiaceae bacterium. Its description in RNAcentral is "partial 23S ribosomal RNA". It matches the Rfam family "Bacterial large subunit ribosomal RNA", at positions 2607 to 2925 of the family's 2925-position model. Lineage: Bacteria; Bacillati; Bacillota; Clostridia; Halanaerobiales; Halanaerobiaceae. The record is from RNAcentral.